Xiphophorus maculatus (southern platyfish) is the source of this 7613-nucleotide long non-coding RNA. RefSeq lists it as uncharacterized. Lineage: Eukaryota; Metazoa; Chordata; Actinopteri; Cyprinodontiformes; Poeciliidae. The transcript is spliced from 6 exons. The record is from RefSeq and is a predicted model, not a curated record.
ACACCUCCACAAUCAAUUUCAGCCUUACAAAUGAAGGAGAAAACGCUGUUGUAUAAGAGACAUUUGACAGUAAUCAAACAUGAAAUGGGACAAGGAAGAUGUGCAACAAAGGUCCUGCAGUCAGCAAUUAAAACACCUGGAUGGCAACAUUAGCUUUAUGGGUGUAGUGAAUUAACCAUGGAAACCACAGCAUGAGCAUUUUUCAAUCAGGUAGAAUGGCUUAUUUCACAAAACAAUAGACAGAGCUAGGGAAGUAUGUUUUAUUGUCAAUGUAAGGGGUUCCAACCAUUUUCAAGUGUACACCCAUGCACACACACAUAUUAUUGAGUCACCCAAGCACAAACACCAAAGUUUUUUCUUUUUCCAUUGGAAAUACUGUGGUUCUUUGUUCCGUAAUCAGUGGGUUGCCAAUUCCAAACUUGCUCCAUCUGUCUCAGUUGUUGAGCCCUUGGCAAUGACCCUUCACCCACCUUGCCUACUGGUGCAGGUUAGUAGGUCAAAAGCCCCGAUGGCAGAUGCAGCGCAUGGCAGCUUCCACUCUGUCAGGCUCUCUCAGGGCUUGCCACCAUGUGUGAGUGUGUGCAUGAAUGUCUGAAUGUAGUGUGACGUACUUUAAGGUCAUCUAGAUUUGGAAAAGUGGUAUGCAAGAAUAGGCCAUUUAUAAAAGAUCGACGAGGUGAUUACAGCAAGGUUCUGAGGCUGUUUUGUAAAAGGUACAGACUGCAAAACUGCACACGUCAACGUCCUUCUGAAAAACCACAAACCACCCCGAGUUCCUCAGCAAUCCCACAGUGAGUGCAGCACACUACUGCUCACAAAGCACACAGAACUUAAGUUUCUGUAAUCAUACACCUUGACCAGUGCUGACAGACGUGGCCUGGCAUCACACACAGUAAACAGAAAUGCUGCCACUACAGAAGCACAGGCGUGCACUUCCUUGUUGAUGGACUGCAGAAACCCACUCAUAUCUUGGCCCAUUUUUUUUUCUGUAAUGAAGUCUUUAAUCUUAGAUGUGAAGGGGGGUCUUUGGUAGCAUUUUGUAAUGUUUAGAAACUCCUAAGAAACCUGUACAGUUUUUUAAGUUACUUUUCACAACAGUUUUUUAUUUCCUAAAGUUUAUUUUACAGUACUGUAGAAACAUUAAGGUUGUGUAAAAGAUCAAUUAAAGCCAAGGUGGCUCAGCCUUCAACUAACAGGCACGCAAAAGCAGAAGAGUUGUACUGUUUUUGUCAUUCCUGAUAAGCUAAGAAUACACAGAUCAUUUGAAUCAGUUUUCCGUUGAAACACUAAGUUGAGCAAUUGCUUCCUGCCAAGUAUACGUCAGCUAAAUCUUUACAAAAAAAACCUAACAAACGUCUGGCCAUUUUGACAAACAGAAAUAGUUUGACAGAACAUAAUAAAGCAAUGUCUUAUCGUGAAAUGGAAACCAGUUGUAUUUAUUCAUACUUCUUCCUGCUAUCAAACUUCUGCGUUUGUCUGGUUUCUCACACCUUUUGAAUGAAACUUUCCUGAACCUGAACGGGAAAAUACUAACCUUGCACUGAAACAUGCAUCACUGAAAAUCAGUUGACUUUCAUCAUCUGAAGGAUGAGUUCACAAGACAAGCUUGCAUUUUCAUUGUUAGAUCAAAAUAACAAUAAACAUAUGAAUGUUCCCACAGAUUAGCUUGUCUCAUUUCCAUUUUAAGGCAUAACCGUGUCAGGAGGUCAUUUUAUGAUGACUUAUUUAGGAAUGUAUGUUUUCAGAAUGCAUGCAAAGAGGAAGAAGAAAAUAAAAGUGAACUUUGUCCUUUACUCUUAUGAAGGUUGCAUAAAAUGAACUGCGCUGUACAAAGCUUGGAAAAACAAGAAAACAAAACAAAAAGAAAACAUAGACUGAGGUGGAAAGAGAUGACCCCCAGAAGGCUAAAACCUUCACUCUUCCCCUGACAGACUAGCUUGAAAACUAAAAAAGCACAUUACUCAGACCCUCCUACUACAACAGACACCACGGCUCUCACUUCCGGUGUGGAAAGCAAUUUUUCUUUUUUUGAACGUGUGUGGGGUUCUAAUCAAGUGUCAGCCGAAGAAGUGUCAGCUACACCAGAUGCUGGUGGUGCAAGAAAAAACUGUUUAUAUAUUAAAAACAUAGAGCAAGAAACUUCUCUAUUUGUUGCAUUUCUAAGAAAGCAGAGCUAACAGAUAAAGAGGAAAUCAGAGAACUGUUGGACCCUACACAGGUGGGAUGAUGAAUUUCUUAAGAUAUUGCUGCAUCGACUGUUCGUUGAUAUGUUGCAUCUUCUGGAUUUUCUGGCCAGCAGAAGCCAAAACGAUCACACAGGUGGCAGGCAGCAGAGUGACCCUGAACUGUACCGACUCAGAAAAAAACAUAACCAUAGCCGCUUGGAAAUUUAAUGGAAAGAAUCUUAUCUCCUUCAAAAGUCCAAAACUUAAACUUAGGUUCAAUGAAAGUGACCGCCUUAAAGUAGAGAUGUCUGAUUUAGAAAGUGAGCGAUAUGCACUCAUCAUAAAAGAAGCCAACAAGACACACGAAGGAAACUACACUUGCGAGAUAACUGCAACUUCAGGAGUUUUUGAUGAGGUCCAGGAGCUUAUAAUUACAGAAAGAAACACCAACAUACUGAUUAUUAUCAUCUCAGCUGCUGUCCCUUCUGUAUGUUUCCUAAUAUUAAUAUCUGCUUUAGUCAUUCUGAAACAAAGAAAAAAGAACAGAUCUCCUUCAGAAAUACGGCAGCAAAAGCAAGUGGAAGAUAUUUAUGAAAACCGUUUGGAAAUUCAGCGCCGCCAAGCUUACCUUAACAAACCCUGAUGUUGCUGCUGUUUACACUGCUUUCAAUAGAACAUUAUUUACAAGGGACACAAUGUUCUAAAUUUACCUUCUUCUCUUAAAUGUCACCUUUAUGGUGGUAGUUAUGAGUCUCUGACGAGGAAACAUGACAGAGGCAAUAUUUGUUUUUCCAAGGUUAAACAGAACAGGUUUCAGUAUUCCACACAGUUUGCUCUGUGGCUUAUCUCAGUUAUUGCUGGCUUUCUACAAAUAUUUAAAUUCAUUGCACUUUUGGACUUUACAUUACACAGCUUCUCUUUUCUUCCUAGUCAAAAGAGUUUUGAUAUAAACCAUGACCACUGACUAUUUUUGGAUUUAAGUGAAACUACAGUGGGAUUCAAAGGCACAUACUUUGAAUUACUCAACAUUUUUGUCAUACCCCUAUUUGGUCAUCGGGCGAGAAGCAGUACAUCUUGGUCAAGUUGUUAGUCUAUCACAAAGGCAGCCAAAACUCCAUGCAGAAAGAAGUCUGAAGUCUCCAUAAAGCGUUAACAAAAACAUAACAUAUUUUUGUUGCAUUUUUAUUUUAUGUGAUAGACCAACACAUUGAAGAGAAUUACUGGGAUGGAAAGGAAAAAGAUAGAUGUUUUUCAGUUUAAUUCCCAUAAAUCAGUCUGAGAGCAUUGCAGAAUAAUGAACACCAAGAUGGCAUGCAUAUCAGGACAAACAUGUGGAAGAAGAUGCUCCGGUCAGAUGGAACGAAAUUGAAACUUUUUUACCCCAAUUUGGGUAAAAAAUUGGGUUCACACCAUUCUUUAAGCUUGGUACAUAUUGUGGGAUUUCAAAAAUUGUACAGGACUGAAACGCAGCACACUGUGUAACCUCAGUGUAAUAACAACUCUUGCCAGACUGGAAAAUGGAAGAUGUCAAUGUCCUGCAGCAACAUUACCUCCUAAAGGCCAGUCAAAUAUAUCAGUUUAUCAUUGACAGGACAGAUUUUAUAUCCAGUUAAACGAAGCACAGUUAUCGUAUUAUUGGGGUUCAUCUCUGAUGUACUUAUUGUUUGAGGGAGACAUUGAAAAGAGAAAUAGGAAAGGGUGGUGGAAGAAGACAUGGCUAAGCAAUUGAGAAUCUGUGGAAAUGCUUUAGGAGGCAUGAAGAAUUAAAGACAAAACCCCAAAAAAGUUAAUGUGGGUUAGAGCAGGUGUAGACACAGGACCAGAGGUGGUUUUAAGAUUUUCUUUGAUAACCAAACAGUGCAGCAUUUUCUUCCUGCUUCAUAUUUGUGCACUACUUUGUGUUGGUCUGUCACACAAAUUCCCCCCAAAACACAUUAGAGACUGUGACCUAAAAUGUUCAAAGGUGGUGAAUGCUGUCGCAAGUCAAUGUGGCGUGUAACAGAAGGAACCAUUUUAACAGCACAAAAACCCAGCUUAUGAAAAGUAGUAUAAUGUGCCAAGAUCCCAUGUGUGCUGAAGAGGGCCUCCUUUAACACAAUACAGAUAGCAUAACAAGGAAACCAGUGGGCAUUUCUGUUGAAAGGCAUAAUGUGAUACUGUAGCAGUUAUUAAGAGAGUUCAAUGGAAAUUAUUGAAAUAAAAAGUAACUGCCCUUCAAACUGUACCAGUCAAAUUAUUUUUAGUCAGUUUUUUUUCUACAGGUAUGAAAUUGCACAAAGUAGCAGCAUUAGAAUAUAAAGAGUUGAUGAAAGUUCUGUUCAAUCAACAAAGACAAUGGGUUUGUUUUUUUUAGGUUGUUGGUUGAAACGACGUUCCAGACAAAGACACAUGAAAUUAAAAAGAAGCUGUAAAACAUUACUUUUGGCAAGCAGCAUAAAUAAAGUUAACAGGUGCAAUCACUGUCAGAACUGACAAAUAAGCAUUCUUUCCUAGCAUAACCUUGUAGCACUCCCCAGUUUCCAUUUUUCUGUCAACACACACCCCAUACCAGCCAUAUCUGCACAACACUCAGGAAAAUCUCAUAACUUAUUUCCUCUAACCAUGUGAUGUGAAGACAUCACAUCAACCUUGUGAUGGCUUCCUCUGAUGACUGAAGUCAACUGAUAGUUGCAUAACUGAGUGACUUUAAUAUUGAGACUGUUCACCUACGUCACACUUGGUCAGCUAUAGCUCUACUUUUACAUAUGUCUAUUUUCAAAGGUGUUGGGUGUGGGAAAAAAAACAAAACUGAGGCACGGAUCUGUUUUUAGGUCUACUUUUAAUAAAGAAGGAAGCUACAAGUAGCUGCAGAAGUAAGUCAAGCAAAAAAUAUGUAACCUUGUGAAACAGAAUAAAAAUCUAUAAGAUGAGGCUGAACAGAAACUACAAACCUAGAAUGUAAUUACGUACAGAAAAAGAACACCAAGUUUUAAACACUACAAGUGAAAAUGUCUUUUCUACACACAGAACACACAUUUAUGAAAUAAGAGAUGAAAAUCACACAACUUUGUCAUUUUGUCAGCUGUAGGGCAUUUAAAUAAAAAAAAGUAACUUUGAGUGUGAUGUUUGCACUCCAAGAAAAAGCUAAUUAUCGUUUAUCAGAAAUGUCAUCAUUGUGUGUCAAGCAGCAGCCACCUUGUUUCAGGAAAUCUAUAUAUAAUGCUAUUGUGAUGCACAGGCUAUGGCCUUUGGCUGCUUUUAGUGUUGUUGGAUUGACCAACCAUGAAAAAUGUCUCCUGUUAAAGGGCAACAGUGUGUCCUCUCUCUCUGUGUCCUUUACUGACCUGCAAGUAACUAAGAAUUUGGGAGUUUUACAUGUGGUUUUGAGGUAACAGUUUUGCUGUACUACUUCCAGCGGUUGGUGUCAGACCAUUGUAUUUAAAACUCCUUUAUGGUUUCGCGUAGACAGAAAAUUGACCUCUUGUACUUAGCAGAAAACAUACGAGUGCUUCAUAUAAGUUCAGCAGUUUAUAAUAUCCAGUAAGUACCUAACAAGGAAUGUGUACACCAAGCUGUUAAAUCAACUAUGUACAAUUUGCUACAGAGACGGUACAUUUUCCAGUUGUUUUAGCAUAGAAAUAACUCCAGUGUGUAACUACAGAGACCCCUAGUAGCUCAGCUGAUGAGCUGAAAUACAGAGCUGCUAUGCAAAAAGUAAUAAUUUAAAUAACUUUAAGCAUAAACAAAUAUUUUAAACGUACAUUUCUAAAGCUACAUCAAUAAACACCAGAUUAUACAAAAAUACAUAGCUUUAAUACUAGGUAUUGUUCACUUGUUAAAAAAAAACUUCUCUCAUUGCUUCAUUUGCAAUGUUAAGGCACUGUUUCUUGCUUCCGGAUGCAGAUUUUUCAGAUGUUUGCAAAUUGGAAAUUAUGUUCGAAUUAAAAUCCCGAAUUUUGUAUCUCUUCCGGAAGAAAAGAAUAUAUGCAAACUGCUGCUGGGCUCUCCAGAAUCAAGAAAAUUACUUUCAAGCUUUGUUGACAUCUUCGCCGAGCUAAUUAACUUUGCCACAAACUCCCACGCAGCACAGCAGGCUGGGUUUGCAGAUUGGGAGCGAUUGUCUAGGGAGGACGGUCUGGGGAGGAUUCGGUCAAACACCAGUUAUAGACUCGACUAUUCUAAAAUGAAAUUGUACAGAAUGUUCCCCUCAAUAUCUUCAAAAUGUGAUAAAUGUAAGUCAGGAUGGUCAAGUCCUGUCACGUCUGUACCGGUCAUGCCCUGAACUCUUCCAGGAUUGUGACAUUUUCAGCUUGUGCUCUGAAGUGUAUAUGUGCAUGUUGGUUCUAGUCCGUAUUGCAUUAUUUGGAUAUUCUCCUUCACUUAGGAACUGCACUAUUUCCGUGCAAACCACUGUGACGUACGGAAUGGUAAUAGCCAACAAAGUAAUAUUAAAAUUGUGGAAAAUUGACAAGGGUCCUCAGUUUAAAAUGUGGUUAUCUGAUUUUACUGAGAUACUUCAUUUGGAGAAAUUGCGGUAUGAUGUUGCGGGCUCCACUAAUUAGUUCUGUAGAAUCUGGCAGCUCUUUUUAGACCUUCUUUCUCAGUCAAACACUGACCCAAACACUCACUCAGCCUUUAGGAUGACAGAUAGUGUCAUCCUAAAGUCUAAAUGGUAAUCAGUGCAGUAUAACCAGUUAUUUAGAUAAUUGCCCUGACUUGUUUUCAUUUUAUUUUAUUUUUAGUAAUGUCAAUUUUUAUUUACAUUAUUGUCGUAUUGGUAAGAGUAUAUUUUUUCUUAUACAGUAAUUUGUUAUAUAUAUGUAUGCUUUAUACUCUUGUGUAUGAUUCAUGUAUGUUGUACUUUGAAAACUUAAACAUAUAUACUGUUUAAGAGAAGAAAACUUCUGUUGAUUACAUUUAGUUUUUCUAAAGCAACUCUUCCAGUAUUGUCUUAGUCUUAUACAGCAGCAGCAUUAAUGUAAUGUGAAAAGCACACUAUGUUGGAUCUGUUGCACAGCUAUACUGGUGAACUUGAGACGAUCUUGGUAUUGCUUUGAUUUUUCAUUGCAGGUAUAAAAGCACACACUCAGCGUAUUCCUAAAGCUAUGUGAUUAUAUAGUAUCUAUUGCUUUAUUUAUUAGAAGACAAGUUCAAAUACUUUACUCUUCACACUUCUGUGCAGAGUGUAAAAGGUGCCCUAGUUUACCAGCAUGCUGGUUGACCUGGUUGCCAUUGCUGACAUCAGCAACAUUUAUGAAAACCAGAACAGCUUUGGUACAUUUUCACACUGUAGUGUUAUAUCUUUCUGCUUGUGUGCUUAAAACAAACCAGACGUUUGAGUUGGUGUCACUAAAUACUAUUUUUAGUUUCAGUAGAUUCAAACUUUAUGAGAAUAACAAGCGAGUUCGAUGGUAUUAAGAGUGACGCUGACUUCUUAUCACAAAUAAUGUUUGCAAAAAAAAAAAAAAA